GUCCACGCCGUAAACGAUGCUAACUCGUUUUUGGGCACUUGUGCUCAGAGACCAAGCGAAAGUGAUAAGUUAGCCACCUGGGGAGUACGAUCGCAAGAUUGAAACUCAAAGGAAUUGACGGGGGGCCCGCACAAGCGGUGGAUUAUGUGGUUUAAUUCGAUGAUACGCGAGGAACCUUACCAAGACUUAAAUGGGAAUUGACAGAUUUAGAAAUAGAUCCUCCUUCGGGCAAUUUUCAAGGUGCUGCAUGGUUGUCGU
Molecule: ribosomal RNA, 258 nt
Filed under: uncultured bacterium
Lineage: Bacteria
Description: partial 16S ribosomal RNA
Rfam family: Bacterial small subunit ribosomal RNA
Source: RNAcentral